Molecule: ribosomal RNA, 449 nt
Filed under: uncultured bacterium
Lineage: Bacteria
Description: partial 16S ribosomal RNA
Rfam family: Bacterial small subunit ribosomal RNA
Source: RNAcentral
AACGAACGCUGGCGGCAUGCCUAACACAUGCAAGUCGAACGAACCCUUCGGGGUUAGUGGCGCACGGGUGCGUAACGCGUGGGGAUCUGCCCUUUGCUUCGGAAUAACAGUUAGAAAUGACUGCUAAUACCGGAUGAUGUCGAAAGACCAAAGAUUUAUCGGCAAAGGAUGAACCCGCGUAGGAUUAGCUAGUUGGUGGGGUAAGGGCCUACCAAGGCGACGAUCCUUAGCUGGUCUGAGAGAAUGAUCAGCCACACUGGGACUGAGACACGGCCCAGACUCCUACGGGAGGCAGCAGUGGGGAAUAUUGGACAAUGGGCGAAAGCCUGAUCCAGCAAUGCCGCGUGAGUGAUGAAGGCCUUAGGGUUGUAAAGCUCUUUUACCAGGGAUGAUAAUGACAGUACCUGGAGAAUAAGCUCCGGCUAACUCCGUGCCAGCAGCCGCCGUAA